GAUGAACGCUGGCGGCGUGCCUAAUACAUGCAAGUCGAACGAAACUUCUUCAUCACCGAGUGCUUGCACUCACCGAUAAAGAGUUGAGUGGCGAACGGGUGAGUAACACGUGGGCAACCUGCCCAAAAGAGGGGGAUAACACUUGGAAACAGGUGCUAAUACCGCAUAACCAUAGUUACCGCAUGGUAACUAUGUAAAAGGUGGCUAUACUACCGCUUUUGGAUGGGCCCGCGGCGCAUUAGCUAGUUGGUAGGGUAAAGGCUUACCAAGGCAAUGAUGCGUAGCCGAAUUGAGAGGUUGAUCGGCCACAUUGGGACUGAGACACGGCCCAAACUCCUACGGGAGGCAGCAGUAGGGAAUCUUCCACAAUGGGCGAAAGCCUGAUGGAGCAACGCCGCGUGGGUGAAGAAGGUCUUCGGAUCGUAAAACCCUGUUGUUAGAGAAGAAAGUGCGUGAGAGUAACUGUUCACGUUUCGACGGUAUCUAACCGGAAAGCCACGGCUAACUACGUG
This 512-nucleotide ribosomal RNA is filed under the name uncultured bacterium. RNAcentral describes it as "partial 16S ribosomal RNA". It matches the Rfam family "Bacterial small subunit ribosomal RNA", at positions 28 to 507 of the family's 1533-position model. The record is from RNAcentral.